RNAcentral lists this transfer RNA (85 nucleotides) under Actinomycetota bacterium. RNAcentral's name for it is "Actinobacteria bacterium (soil metagenome) tRNA-Leu". It matches the Rfam family "tRNA". Rfam says of the family: Transfer RNA (tRNA) molecules are approximately 80 nucleotides in length. Their secondary structure includes four short double-helical elements and three loops (D, anti-codon, and T loops). Lineage: Bacteria; Bacillati; Actinomycetota. The record is from RNAcentral.
GCGGAAGUGGCGUAACGGUAGCCGCGGCAGGCUCAAACCCUGCUGGGCCGCAAGGCCCGUGCGCGUUCGACUCGCGCCUUCCGCA